CUGUUGCCUCUGACAGUCUGUCAUGGAUCAGGAAGAGAGAGCAGUCUGCUGGAGCCAAGCUGGAGGACUGAGGGUUCUGGUUCUGAUCCAUAGCCUCUGCUUCAAAGUGAGCUGCUGGUUCUGAGAGGACCAUGGUGGACAUCAGUGGACUUUGGACCAGAAGCUCAGGAGGACCAGAACCGAAGCUUCACUGUGAAGAAACUCUGAUCAACCUCCAUCUACCUGCUUUUACGCCUGGAAGAACCUGUUAUUCUGCAGAGGGACUCAGCAGUAGAACCUGCAGAGCAACAAACGUGUUGGAACACAUCUGCUGCCUGCAGGAAGACCUGCUGGAAGACAGCUUCAAGAUGAGAAUCAGCACAGCGUCCAACUUACAGGCCUGACCAUGGUGACGAUGUUCAGAGAGCAAACUAAAGCAGAGAUCUUAGGAGAACCAGGAGGAGCAAAGAACAGAUUCUGACCCAGCAGCUCAGAAAACAGAGCAGCGGGUCAGAAAAUCAGAACUCUGCUUAAAAAUAGCAGCAGGGUCUGAGUUUAUAUAAUCAGUUUAAAGUUAAACUGAUUUCAUCAAAUCACACUAAAGUUUAAAAUGAGACUAGAGUCCAGAGGUCUGACUGACAGAAAGCAUCUGGUCAGGAGAUCCUGUGAUGGCUCCCCGUGUGAAACAAGCUGAGGCCUAAAAACUCCACAAACCACCAGAGACCAGGGCUUACUGCUGACUCCUGUGAAUCCUUCUGUAGCUGCAUGAGGAACUUCUCUGCUUGGUGAGAUAAAACCACCACAGAUUACAGGAACUCUGCACAGAGCUGUCCUGUCAGCUGCUUUAAAUCCUGAGGGUUUAAUCUCUGGUUGCUUCAGAGAGCCACCAGCUGGUUCUGGAUCUGGGCUUUAGUUUGGAUCAGUCUGGAUCUCAGAGUCUGGAUCAGUCUGGAUCUUAGAGUCUGGAUCAGUCUGGAUCUUAGAGUCUGGAUCAGUCUGGAUCUUA
Molecule: long non-coding RNA, 985 nt
Organism: Fundulus heteroclitus (mummichog)
Lineage: Eukaryota; Metazoa; Chordata; Actinopteri; Cyprinodontiformes; Fundulidae
Exons: 3
Source: RefSeq, a predicted model, not a curated record